RNAcentral lists this ribosomal RNA (496 nucleotides) under uncultured bacterium. Its description in RNAcentral is "partial 16S ribosomal RNA". It matches the Rfam family "Bacterial small subunit ribosomal RNA", at positions 30 to 523 of the family's 1533-position model. The record is from RNAcentral.
AUUGAACGCUGGCGGAAUGCUUUACACAUGCAAGUCGAACGGUAGAGGGGGCAACCCCUCGAGAGUGGCGAACGGGUGAGUAAUAUAUCGGAACGUGCCCAGUCGUGGAGGAUAACGUAGCGAAAGUUACGCUAAUACCGCAUACGAUCUAAGGAUGAAAGCGGGGGAUCGCGAGACCUCGCGCGAUUGGAGCGGCCGAUAUCAGAUUAGGUAGUUGGUGGGGUAAAGGCUCACCAAGCCAACGAUCUGUAGCUGGUCUGAGAGGACGACCAGCCACACUGGAACGGAGACACGGUCCAGACUCCUACGGGAGGCGGCAGUGGGGAAUUUUGGACAAUGGACGCAAGUCUGAUCCAGCCAUUCCGCGUGCAGGAUGAAGGCCCUCGGGUUGUAAACUGCUUUUGUACGGAACGAAAAGGUCUCUCUUAAUACGGGGGACUCAUGACGGUACCGUAAGAAUAAGCACCGGCUAACUACGUGCCAGCCGCCGCCGUAA